Long non-coding RNA from Chiroxiphia lanceolata (lance-tailed manakin), 396 nucleotides. RefSeq lists it as uncharacterized. The record is from RefSeq and is a predicted model, not a curated record. The transcript is spliced from 3 exons. NCBI's taxonomy places the organism in Eukaryota, Metazoa, Chordata, Aves, Passeriformes, Pipridae.
AACACAUAAAAUUCACAUUGCUCUCCCAAGACCCAAGAACCAGCAAGGCAAUGAUGUUUUUCCAAUACUAUAUUUUUUUUUUCAUUUCCUUUUUUCAGAUAGGAACACAUGUAAACCAACAAACGACCAAUGACAGCAAAUACCAAUUGUAUUUCCUCUAAGAUACAGGUACUCUGAAUAGUAUUUAUCUUUUUACACCAUGAGUUACUGAGAGGAGGAACUGUGAUUUCAUACAAUUGUCUAAGGACCUAGUCUAAUGGAGACCAGAUUAUCAUCUCAAUACUUUGUUUCCAUAUUAAGCAGAUGUCAUGAAGACAUACUCUAUCCUCAAGAUACAGUACCGCAGCGGAGAUCUUUUAUUUUCCAUCUCAGAGUUACUACUCGACGGACUGCCAC